RNAcentral lists this ribosomal RNA (497 nucleotides) under uncultured bacterium. Its description in RNAcentral is "partial 16S ribosomal RNA". It matches the Rfam family "Bacterial small subunit ribosomal RNA", at positions 28 to 507 of the family's 1533-position model. The record is from RNAcentral.
GAUGAACGCUGGCGGCGUGCCUAAUACAUGCAAGUCGAGCGAACAGACGAGGAGCUUGCUCCUUCGACGUUAGCGGCGGACGGGUGAGUAACACGUAGGUAACCUACCUAUAAGACUGGGAUAACUUCGGGAAACCGGAGCUAAUACCGGAUAAUAUUUCGAACCGCAUGGUUCGAUAGUGAAAGAUGGCUUUGCUAUCACUUAUAGAUGGACCUGCGCCGUAUUAGCUAGUUGGUAAGGUAACGGCUUACCAAGGCAACGAUACGUAGCCGACCUGAGAGGGUGAUCGGCCACACUGGAACUGAGACACGGUCCAGACUCCUACGGGAGGCAGCAGUAGGGAAUCUUCCGCAAUGGGCGAAAGCCUGACGGAGCAACGCCGCAUGAGUGAUGAAGGUCUUCGGAUCGUAAAACUCUGUUAUUAGGGAAGAACAAACGUGUAAGUAACUGUGCACGUCUUGACGGUACCUAAUCAGAAAGCCACGGCUAACUACGUG